GAAUGGGCAUCCCACCCCAGCACUUUCUAGGAAGAAGGGCAGCAUUUUGAAGGGCUGGAAGUAGAGGAAGGAGGUUGCGGGUAGAAGACUCCAUACUUUCUGUGACGCCUAUUCCUUAGGAAUCAAGGCUAUCUGUAAUCACAGGGCUAUUUGAAAAAGAGAAGAAAAGGUGUCUUGAAAUUCAACCAACAUGUUUCAAUUAUUUGCUCCUAAGAACAACAGAAGUUUCAACAUUCUGCCAACAGAGUAACUCCUGGAAGAUUGGCACAGAAGAAGGCACAAGGAGAGCCUUUAUAUAACCAAAGAUAUUUUUGGACCAUGAAUUCAGAAAUUCUCGGAGCCACCCAUCAGUGCCUGAGCUUCAGUGAGUCCAUAUCCCAUGUCACCCACGGCAAAGGAGACUCUAAGACUUCUGAAGAGUUUCUUGCUUCUUUCCUGUGGGGCAGUGACUCCACUUCCCAGCAGUAAUGGAAUAUCCUGAAUUAGCUACAUUAAUGUUAGAACCAUUUGGACCUCACCCAGGACUUCAACUACAUUAUGGUUCUAGUAUGUUACGUUUAUGUUCCCCUGCUUUCUACAAUCCUGUUCAAAGAGUUGCUGACUUAACCACAGAGAGGAUUCCAGAACCUGAGACACAGAAUAAACUUGAGCAAUCAUAGUCCAUCCACUUCAUUGUCUCAUCAAAAACCAAAGGUCCAGUGAAGCUCUGGAACUCAACGCUGUAAAGGAGCGAAGGAGCUUCUAUACAGA
This 750-nucleotide long non-coding RNA is filed under the name Homo sapiens (human). RNAcentral's name for it is "STARD13 antisense RNA". Lineage: Eukaryota; Metazoa; Chordata; Mammalia; Primates; Hominidae. The record is from RNAcentral.